GACGAACGCUGGCGGCGUGCUUAACACAUGCAAGUCGAACGGAAAGGCCCCUUUGGGGGUACUCGAGUGGCGAACGGGUGAGUAACACGUGAGUAACCUGCCCUUGACUUCGGGAUAACUUCAGGAAACUGGGGCUAAUACCGGAUAGGAAUCCUUGCUGCAUGGUGGGGGUUGGAAAGCUUCGGCGGUUUUGGAUGGACUCGCGGCUUAUCAGCUUGUUGGUGGGGUAGUGGCUUACCAAGGCUUUGACGGGUAGCCGGCCUGAGAGGGCGACCGGCCACAUUGGGACUGAGAUACGGCCCAGACACCUACGGGAGGCAGCAGGGGGGAAUAUUGCACAAUGGGCGGAAGCCUGAUGCAGCAACGCCGCGGGCGGGAUGACGGCCUUCGGGUUGUAAAACGCUUUCAGCAGGGGCGAAGCUUGUGGUGACGGUACCUGCAGAAGAAGCACCGGCUAACUACGUG
Molecule: ribosomal RNA, 465 nt
Filed under: uncultured bacterium
Lineage: Bacteria
Description: partial 16S ribosomal RNA
Rfam family: Bacterial small subunit ribosomal RNA
Source: RNAcentral